UGAGAUUGAUGGAAACUGUGCUGGGUC
This 27-nucleotide non-coding RNA is filed under the name Homo sapiens (human). Lineage: Eukaryota; Metazoa; Chordata; Mammalia; Primates; Hominidae. The record is from RNAcentral.